This 1356-nucleotide ribosomal RNA is filed under the name Dictyosquilla foveolata. RNAcentral describes it as "16S ribosomal RNA". The stretch from base 902 to 1282 matches the Rfam family "Bacterial large subunit ribosomal RNA", at positions 2072 to 2648 of the family's 2925-position model. Lineage: Eukaryota; Metazoa; Arthropoda; Malacostraca; Stomatopoda; Squillidae. The record is from RNAcentral.
AAGCAUAAACUUAUCUGGUUUUGAUUGUGAUAUUUUAUAAAUUUGAUAAAAAUAAUUUUCUUUUUGUUAUUAAUAGUAUUUAAUAAAGGAAUUUUUGAUUUGGUGAUAAAUAAAAAGUACUGUGAAGGAAAGUUGAAAUAUUUGAAAAAUUAAUUUUUAGAAAGUAUUUUUUAAAAUUAAUACCUUGUGUUUCAGGGAAUUUAAAUAUUAUUUUUGUUAUUUUCAAACAUUCCCGAAUUUUGGUGAGCUAGUCUACAAUAAUAGUUAAUGUGGUAUAAUUAUUAUUAAUUGUCUACUAGAAAUGAAAUUUUAUACGCACUAAUUAGUAUCUGGUUUCCCGAUAAAUGAAUUGAAUUCAGCUUUUAAUUAUAAUAUAAUUAAAAAGUAAAAAUAGGAGGGAAAAGCUUCUUAUUUAAUAAUAAACAAACUAUAGAUAAAAUAAUUCUUUUUAUUAAACUAGGCUUAAGAUCAGUCAUGUUGAAAAAUCGUUAUAGAUUAUGUUUGAUGUAUUAAUAUUUAAAAUUAUUUUAGUGGUUUUACCGGGAAUCAUAAUAUAAUUAUAUUAUUUUGGUUAUAAUUAAAUUAUUAGUAUAUAAAAAUGUUUUGAUAUUUAUUAAACAAGUUUGGUUUUAAUUAUUUAUCAAAUUUAAAUUUGUGUUAAGGAACUCGGCAAUUAUUCCUUCUGCCUGUUUAUCAAAAACAUGUCCAUAUGAUUAAGCGUUUUAUAUGGUCUGGCCUGCUCACUGAUAUUUAAAUUAAAGAGCCGCGGUAUUUUGACCGUGCGAAGGUAGCAUAAUAAUUAGUCUCCUAAUUAGAGGCUUGUAUGAAUGGUCGGACAAGAUGGAAACUGUCUCAACACAAUAAAUAAAAUUUAAUUUUUAAGUAAAAAAGCUUAAAUGUAAUGGAGGGACGAUAAGACCCUAUAAAGCUUUAUGGUAUUCUUCUUUUUUAUAAAUUGUUUUGUUAUUAACUUAUUUUAGAAUUUUUAUCAUUUUACUGGGGCGGUAAAAGUAUAAUAAAAGAUUAACUGCUUUUAUUUUGUGUAACAAUUUUAUUUGGAAAUAAAUUGAUCCAUUAUUAAUGAUUAUAAGAACAAGUUACUUUAGGGAUAACAGCGUUAUUUUUUUUGAGAGUUCUUAUCGAAAAAAAAGUUUGCGACCUCGAUGUUGAAUUAAGGUUACCUUAAGGUGCAGCAGUUUUAAAGGUAGAUCUGUUCGAUCUUUAAAUCCUUACAUGAUUUGAGUUCAGACCGGCGUGAGCCAGGUUGGUUUCUAUCUUCCAUAUAAAAAUAACUUGUUUUAGUACGAAAGGAUUUGAUAAGUCAAAUAUUUUGUUGUGUGUUGAUUAUUAUUAACU